RNAcentral lists this ribosomal RNA (253 nucleotides) under uncultured bacterium. RNAcentral describes it as "partial 16S ribosomal RNA". It matches the Rfam family "Bacterial small subunit ribosomal RNA", at positions 524 to 776 of the family's 1533-position model. The record is from RNAcentral.
GACGAAACGUGCGAAUGUUGUUCGGAAUCACUGGGCUUAAAGGGCGCGUAGGCGGGCUGUCAAGUCUGGGGUGAAAUGCCGCGGCUCAACCGUGGAACUGCCUUAGAUACUGACGGCCUCGAGGAAGGUAGGGGCAUGCGGAACUCUGGGUGGAGCGGUGAAAUGCGUUGAUAUCCAAAGGAACGCCGGUGGCGAAAGCGGCGUGCUGGACCUUUUCUGACGCUGAGGCGCGAAAGCUAGGGGAGCAAACGGG